UCGAAACCUGCCCAGCANAGCGACCCUUGAACAUGUCAACCCCGUGGCCGUUGGGGCGUUGCUCGGUGCCUAGUGUGCCGGCCCGUCCCUCUCCCAAGYYGGGAGAGYGCUCACUUAUGGGCUGUUUCCCUGGCAAAACAACGAACCCCGGCGCGUAAUGCKUCAAGGAAUACAAACAUUAUGUGUGUACUCUCCCGUCGCCCGGUUAGCCGGGUGUUGGAGCGGUGCCAUGUCUUAACAACA
Molecule: ribosomal RNA, 243 nt
Filed under: Silene petersonii
Lineage: Eukaryota; Viridiplantae; Streptophyta; Magnoliopsida; Caryophyllales; Caryophyllaceae
Source: RNAcentral